This 497-nucleotide ribosomal RNA is filed under the name uncultured bacterium. Its description in RNAcentral is "partial 16S ribosomal RNA". It matches the Rfam family "Bacterial small subunit ribosomal RNA", at positions 28 to 507 of the family's 1533-position model. The record is from RNAcentral.
GAUGAACGCUGGCGGCGUGCCUAAUACAUGCAAGUCGAGCGAACGGACGAGAAGCUUGCUUCUCUGAUGUUAGCGGCGGACGGGUGAGUAACACGUGGAUAACCUACCUAUAAGACUGGGAUAACUUCGGGAAACCGGUGCUAAUACCGGAUAAUAUUUUGAACCGCUUGGUUCAGAAGUGCUUGACGGUCUUGCUGUCACUUAUAGAUGGAUCCGCGCUGCAUUAGCUAGUUGGUAAGGUAACGGCUUACCAAGGCAACGAUGCAUAGCCGACCUGAGAGGGUGAUCGGCCACACUGGAACUGAGACACGGUCCAGACUCCUACGGGAGGCAGCAGUAGGGAAUCUUCCACAAUGGGCGAAAGCCUGACGGAGCAACGCCGCGUGAGUGAUGAAGGUCUUCGGAUCGUAAAACUCUGUUAUUAGGGAAGAACAUAUGUGUAAGUAACUGUGCACGUCUUGACGGUACCUAAUCAGAAAGCCACGGCUAACUACGUG